RNAcentral lists this ribosomal RNA (461 nucleotides) under uncultured bacterium. Its description in RNAcentral is "partial 16S ribosomal RNA". It matches the Rfam family "Bacterial small subunit ribosomal RNA", at positions 338 to 795 of the family's 1533-position model. The record is from RNAcentral.
CCUACGGGUGGCUGCAGUGAGGAAUAUUGGUCAAUGGACGCAAGUCUGAACCAGCCAAGUAGCGUGCAGGAUGACGGCCCUCCGGGUUGUAAACUGCUUUUAUUUGGGAAUAAAAGCGGGCUCGUGAGCCUCGUAUUGUAUGUACCAUCAGAAAUAGGACCGGCUAAUUCCGUGCCAGCAGCCGCGGUAAUACGUAGGGUCCGGGCUUUAUCCGGAUUUUUUGUGUUUAAAGGGUGCGCAGGCGGAAGAUGAAGUCAGCGGUAAAAUUGAGAGGCUCAACCUCGUCGAGCCGUUGAAACUGGUUUUCUUGAGUGAGCGAGAGGGAUGCGGAAUGCGUGGUGUAGCGGUGAAAUGCAUAGAUAUCACGCAGAACUCCGAUUGCGAAGGCAGCAUACCGGCGCUCAACUGACGCGCAUGCACGAAAGUGUGGGUAUCGAACAGGAUUAGAUACCCUUGUAGUC